This 111-nucleotide ribosomal RNA is filed under the name Caerostris darwini. Lineage: Eukaryota; Metazoa; Arthropoda; Arachnida; Araneae; Araneidae. The record is from RNAcentral.
AACGGCCAUACCAUGCUGAAUAUACCAGUUCUCGUUUGAUCACCGAAGUCACGCAUCAUUGGGGGCGGUCAGUACUUGGGAUCUUGGCCACCUGGAAACAACGCGUGGCGU